This 9333-nucleotide long non-coding RNA is filed under the name Ananas comosus (pineapple). RNAcentral describes it as "long non-coding RNA (ACOM_LNC023855)". The record is from RNAcentral. Lineage: Eukaryota; Viridiplantae; Streptophyta; Magnoliopsida; Poales; Bromeliaceae.
ACAUAGAAUAUAUGAGUACGGUGACUUGAUACUAACUACUCAAUUGCCAUGAAAUCUUUGAAUGUUCUUUGAUACAAUUUCUACCUAUAAAACACAACACAAACAAAAACACACACACACACACACACACACACACACACACACACACAGAGGAGAGAUCCUAAAGCAUGUAGAAGAACACAAAAAGAGUAAAAACCAUCAAUUAAAUUGAUACUAACUACCUAAUUGCCACGAAACCUUUGAAUGUUCUUUGAUACAUCCUAAAGCAUGGCUCUUUCUACUACUUUUUGCAGUUGCAAGAGAUUGGACCCCCUAAAAUCAGGGUAGUUAUCAAGAAGUAAGAAAUUCUGAGGGCAUUCAAUUACUCACAGCGACUUGAAUGAAAUGGCGGAGAAUAUGAAGAUGUUGAUAAGAUGAAACCCUCUGGACUCCAGUUGAGGGUUAUGCCAUCCUCUAACAGACCUCUUAUCGUGGAGUAACUUAGAUUCUGGGAUUCAUAAUCGCCGGUGAAAUCUAUGUAAGUAUCAUCUGCAACAUAGCAGCCCUUGUGGAGAUCACCAACUGAUAGUGAGCCCAGUAGAACAUAUGAGUAUGACGCAUCCUUGUUGCUGGCGUUCCUGCAAGAAACUGUAGCUAUGUACAGAGAAUCAUUUACAAGAACUGAACAAUUCAAGAAGAAAACACUAGUGUGAAAAUCUUGAUAAUAAAGUUGCACAUUUGUGCCGUCAAUGGUUCUAUUCACCAAGUAUGAAUCGCUAGAGAAGUAGGGAGGUACAUCAACGCUAGAGAAGUAGUGAGGUACGUAAGAACAAUUAUCUCCAAAUAUAUCAGGAUCAACUAUUCUGAUUGAAUAGUCAUCAUAAAUAAUACUCUCUACAAAAUACUUCUUUGAAAACAAUUCUAUAGUGGUCUGAUUCUUUUCACAGAACAGUUGAAACGGUGAAUCUCCACAAAAUUCAAGAUCAUUUUGCAAGCAGAACGGAUAAGAGAUAUUUGGGAUAUUUCCACAGUCGCUUGCACAGCUGUAUCGAGGAACCAAGGUACAGCCCGCAAGAAGAAGGUAUACUAUUUUAACGACUGACAGGGAGAACUCCAUGGUCAGAGAGCUCAGAGCACUCUGUUUCUGGUGAAGUUUUGCAUCUUCUAUAAAUAGAGAACAAAAGAGCAAAGUCGAAUUGGCAUCCCGGAAAUUUCUCUUUUGAAAGUCGCGGCAACUCCAAUUGGUUGAUUAUUGCAGUCAAGGUAAUCACCUAUAGACUUUGAAAAGUCAAGAAAUGACAUUUCAACAAAAGGAAAUAGAAGUCAAGGGUGAUUGGCACAUUGAGGAAAAGUACAUGAUCUUGGUGCCCAUACAUUUUACUUAAUUCUCACUUCACGGACCUUUGUUAUCUCCUCCCCCAUCUUCAACAGCUCAACUGGAGAACAGAGAUGGGCUACUUGGAGAAAUCCUUAGCCUUUGUGAUCAUCUUUCUGGUUCUUCGAGCCAAGAAAGCCUACUGCAGUGACUGCUCAGUUUCCCCGUGUUCACCACAAGGUCCUAGUAUAAGGUUCCCCUUUUGGAAAGUGGGUCAACCUCAGCAUUGUGGCUACCCCGGAUUCAAGCUAUCAUGCAAGGGAAACCAAACUGUUCUACUUCUUCCGUCUUUCGGUGAAGUUUUUGUAACACACAUAUAUUAUGAGCGAAACGAGCUCACCAUUGAUGUCGGCCCCAACAAUUGCACAUAUGACUUCUUCUUGCGCUUCAACUCCUCGGCAACUCCUUUCUCCUACUACCCGUAUUUUCAUCCUGAAAAUCCUCAGUACACAUACAUGAAUUGUUCUAGCAAUAAAACCUCUGAUGACCUUUUUCCAGUUCCUUGUAUGAGUAGCACCAGCAGCAAAUCAGGAUUUUAUGUUUACAUAGUACCUUCAGCCGUGCAACUGACUAUGUUGCCGGGGUAUUGCGAGCCAAUAGGAAAUAUAUCAGCCCCUUAUUUUUUAACUCCCAACUCCGCGGAUUAUUCACCAUCAUACUUUUAUCCUUAUUACAACUUCACCAAUUCGAUUCUGAGUCUUGCUUGGAGUUUGCCAGGAUGUGAAAUUUGCUUUAACUGUGGAUUCAAGAGCAACAUAAGUAAUGAGACUUACUGUUUUGAUCCACCCUAUGAAGAAGGCUCCUUUUAUCCUGACAACACAGGCAGCAACUCAGGCACAUAAAUUGCUCUUUCAGUAAUUAAUUUUCCUUUCUAUCUGGAUAAAUUGAUUUUGGCUUUGAAUUUGCUGUUUGUAGUUCAUUGAAUAGUUUAUAUAUGAUGUGAAUUAAUUCCUUGUUGGAAGCAAAAUCUGGCCAGCAGCUGUUCUAGUUCUCUUACAAAUAACUACUUAAUUAACUGGAGUCGUACGAUGCAGUUAUUGUUCUUCAUGAUGUUAAGUAGGUUGCAAUGACAAAAUUGAGCACCAACAGCUUGAUGUGUUUACUAUUCUUUUGUUGCUUCACAGUCUAACUAUGCUCCCUCAGAUUAUACCUUGAUAGAAACCUCCAUUAAAAAAUAAUUUUGAGAGAAGCUAGCCCUUUCCUUCAUGAUUCACGAUUGCUCGAAGCUAAUCUCUCUUACUGUAUUCUUUUUCAGGAAACAACACAAAGCAUUUGAUAAUAGGUGAAGUCCCUUAAAUUACAUUGUGUUUAAUUAGCUUCGAACUUGAUUAUUAUCUUGGAUUCUUGAGUAUCUUGCUAACUAUUCUCCGGCGUACUACAGGUGUUUGCACUGGCUCCCUCUUCCUGGUAGCAGUAACAGCUGCGAUAAUUAGUGCCUACUAUUUGAGAAGGCGUGGUAGGAAGAAAGGAACGGAGAAUCAGACCAGCGUUGAGAGGUUCUUAGAAGAAUACAAGUCCCUUCGACCCGCCAGGUAUUCCUACGCUGACAUCAAGAAGAUCACCGAUCAUUUUAAGUCCAAGCUGGGCGAAGGUGGAUUCGGCAGCGUCUUCAAAGGCACGCUGCCGAGCGGGCUGCCGGUCGCCGUGAAGGUUCUGAAGAAGAACGCCGGAGGAGGCGACGGAGGAGAGUUUGUGAACGAAGUCGGCACGAUCGGCAGAAUCCACCACGUAAAUAUUGUUCGCCUUCUGGGCUUCUGCGCCGACGGAUUGCGAAGAGCUCUGAUCUAUGAGUUCAUGCCGAACGAGUCNACCUUUCAACAAAAGGAAAUAGAAGUCAAGGGUGAUUGGCACAUUGAGGAAAAGUACAUGAUCUUGGUGCCCAUACAUUUUACUUAAUUCUCACUUCACGGACCUUUGUUAUCUCCUCCCCCAUCUUCAACAGCUCAACUGGAGAACAGAGAUGGGCUACUUCGAGAAAUCCUUAGCCUUUGUGAUCAUCUUUCUGGUUCUUCGAGCCAAGAAAGCCUACUGCAGUGACUGCUCAGUUUCCCCGUGUUCGCUGCAAGGUCCUAGGAUAAGCUUCCCCUUUUGGAAAGUGGGUCAACCUCAGCAUUGUGGCUACCCCGGAUUCAAGCUAUCAUGCAAGGGAAACCAAACUGUUCUACAACUUGCGUCUUUCGGUGAAGUUUUUGUAACAUCCAUAUAUUAUGAGCAAAAUGAGCUCACCAUUGAUGUCGGCCCCAACAAUUGCACAUAUGACUUCUUCUUGCGCUUCAACUCCUCAGCAACCCCUUUCUCCUACUACCCAUACUUUCCUCCUGAAACUACUCAGUACACGUACACAAAUUGUUCUAGCAAUAUAACCUCUGAUGACCUUUAUCCAGUUCCUUGUAUGAGUAGCACCAGCAGCAAAUCAGGAUUUUAUGUUUACGUAGUACCUUCAGCCAUGCAACUGACUAUGUUGCCGGGGUAUUGCCAGCCAAUAGGAAAUAUAUCAGUUCCUUAUCUUUUAACUCCCAACUCCGCGGAUUAUUCAUCAUCAUUUGAUCCUGAUUACCCUUUCACCGAUUCGGCUCUCAAUCUUGCUUGGAGUUUGCCAGGAUGUGAAAGUUGCUUUAACUGUGGAUUCAAGAGCAACGCAAGUAAUGAGACUUACUGUUUAGAUCCACCCUAUGAAGAAGGCUCCUUUUAUCCAGACAACACAGGUGGCAACUCAGGUACAUAAAUUGCUAUUUCAGUAAUUAAUUUUCCUUUCUAUCUGGAUAAAUUGAUUUUGGCUUUGAAUUUGCUGUUUGUAGUUGAUUGAAUAGUUUACAUAUGAUGUGAAUUAAUUUACUUAAUUAAUCGGAGUCUUACGAUGCAGUUAUUGUUCUUCAUGAUGUAAAGUAGGUUGCAUGACAAAAUUGAGAACCAACAGCUUGAUGUGUUUACUAUUCUUUUGUUGCUUUACAGUCUAACUAUGCUCCCUCAGAUUAUACCUUGAUAGAAACCUCCGUUAAAAAAAAUACUUUUGAGAGAAGCCCUUUUCUUCAUGAUUCAUGAUUGAUCGAAGCUAAUUUCUUUUACUAUAUUAUUUUUCAGGAAACAACACAAAGCAUUUGAUAAUAGGUGAAGUCCCUUGAAUCACAUUGUGUUUAAUUAGCUUCGAACUUGAUUAUUAUCUUGGAUUCUUGAGUAUCUUGCUAACUAUUCUCCGGCGUACUACAGGUAUUUGCAUCGGCUCCCUUUUCCUGGUAGCAGUAACAGCUGCGAUAAUCAGUGCCUACUAUUUGAGAAGGCGUGGUAGGAAGAAAGGAAUGGAGAAUCAGAAUCAGACCAGCGUUGAGAGGUUCUUAGAAGAAUACAAGUCCCUUCGACCCACCAGGUAUUCCUACGCCGAUAUCAAGAAGAUCACCGAUCAUUUUAAGUCCAAGCUGGGCGAAGGUGGAUUCGGCAGCGUCUUCAAAGGCACGCUGCCGAGCGGGCUGCCGGUCGCCGUGAAGGUUCUGAAGAAGAACGCCGGAGGAGGCGACGGAGGAGAGUUUGUGAACGAAGUCGGCACGAUCGGCAGAAUCCACCACGUAAAUAUUGUUCGCCUUCUGGGCUUCUGCGCCGACGGAUUGCGAAGAGCUCUGAUCUAUGAGUUCAUGCCGAACGAGUCUUUAGAGAAGUUCAUUUCCUCGUCGUCGCGUUCUGGGGAGGGGGGCCCGGGCCCGAACGCCGCGCUGAGUUGGUCGAAGCUGCUGGACAUUGCGGUCGGCAUUGCCAGGGGAAUGGAGUAUCUUCAUCAGGGAUGCAACCAGAGAAUCCUCCAUUUCGACAUCAAGCCCCACAACAUACUGCUGGACCACAACUUCAGCCCCAAGAUCUCUGAUUUCGGGCUGGCCAAGCUAUGCUCCAAGGAGCGGAGCAUGGUGUCGAUCAGCGCCGCGAGAGGAACCGUCGGCUACAUUGCGCCGGAGGUGCUAUCGAGGAACUUCGGAAAUGUUUCCUACAAGUCCGACGUCUACAGCUUCGGAAUGCUGCUGCUGGAGAUGGCCGGCGGGAGGGAUAUUAUUAUUAAUAAAAGCAACGGGAUGACGACGAUGACGGAGGCCCCCCUCCUGGAGUCUUCGAUUUAUAAUAAUAAUAACAGCAGCUGUUUAUGUGGGACUCUCACUGCUGGAGACGAGGAGGACGAGGCAACACUGAUAGCGAGGAAGCUGACGAUAGUGGGUUUAUGGUGCGUACAGUGGCAUCCGGUGGAUCGGCCUUGCAUGAAGGUCGUGGUUCAGAUGCUGGAAGGGAGCGUACAGAGUCUCCAGAUGCCCCCUGAUCCAUUUGCCUCCCUUGGGUCGGCCCCGCAGACUGAACUCGCAGGUCCACCUGCCAUCGCGUCUCAGGGCCCCAACUUGCAAGUAAUAACUGAAGAAGGAGAAGUAAUAACGGAAGAAGGAGAAGAAGGCGGAGUCGGAGGAGAUGCGGGAACAAAUUAUUAACCCGAAACACUAGGUUCUCAUAGCUUUGCAGAAAUUCCCUUUGAAAUAAAUCGUCACUUUCUUUCUUAUUAUGGUGUCCAUCCGCCUUAGUUCUUUCCCCUGCCCUUUUUGCCUUCUUUUGNAUGAUCAAAGGGUAUAUCUAACGGUAGAAAACUCAAUAGUACCAAAGGCUUGGUACUAUCAAUAGUAUAGUAGCCGGACUCUACAUAUAUAUAUAUAUAUAUAUAGUGUGUCUACUAUACUUUCGAAAGUACCGGGACCUCCGUGCUUGUAAGUUGUUUCGAUGAUAGGACAUCCGAUUCAACGAUCAGCUCCAUUAGGUAAAAUCUACCCUAUUGGAACUAUCAAGAAACCAAAUUUUAUAAUUUUUUGACAUCAUUUACUAAGCUAAGCGAUCAAAAUGUCCCAAAAAUGACUAUUUUAAUGGCCGAUGCGACACAUUUUUAAGUUCAACGAUGUAGAAGUAUCCAAAUUACAUGAAAUUUAAUAGAAAAUUCUACUUAACGUCAAUAGCAAGAUCAAUGCUUUCGAUUUCAAAUUUGAGUCCUUUAUCAUUAUUUUUUAUGAGAUUUUUAUUUUCAGCCAUUCAUUUUGAGACUACUUGUUCAAUAGGCAAACGAAGUCAAAAAAUUAUGAAAUUUGGUUUCAAAAUAGUUCCAAUAGCGUAGAUUAUAUCUAACGAAACCGAUCGCAGAAUCAGACGCCCCAUCAUCGAAAACAACUUACAAGUACGGAGGCCCCCGUACUUUCGAAAGCAUAGAAGCCUAUAUAUAUAUAUAUAUAUAUAUAUAUAUAUAUAAUUGAGCUCCUAUGCUUUUUAAAAAUAUCAAGUUAUUGGUGCUUAUAGAUUUAAGCCAUUGGAUUAAGAGAUAUGCGAUUAGGAUGAUGUGGGCCCCCUAGGGUUGAGUGGGUGGUUGGUUNCAUAUAUAUAUAUAUAUAUAUAUAUAUAUAUGAUUGAGCUAGAAUAUUUUUAGAAGCACCAACUCCUUAGUGCUUCUAGGUUUCUAACCCUUGAAUCUACUCCUUGAUUACUAAUAGUUUUUAGAUCAAACACUAUUCCACCUACCACCAUCAUCUCAACCCUACAUCUCUCCAUCCAAUGACUAAAAACUCAAAAGCACCGCUUACUUGGUGCUUUUGGAUGUAUUCUAGCUCAACUCUCUCUCUCUCUCUCUCUCUCUCUCUCUCUCUAUAUAUAUAUAUAUAGUAGGUCAUGUGUGCUAUUAGGAGCACGGAGGCCAACGUGCUCCUAAGCUGUUUUCGAUGAUGGAGCUUCCAAAUCGACGAUCGGCUCCGUUAGACUUAAUCUAGCGUAUUUGAACUAUCUAGAAAAUAAUUUUUUGUGAUUUUUCGGUAUCAUUUUUAUAGCGAUCGAAAGGGUUCAAAAUCAACAAUUUUUAAUGAUUGAUGUAUACUAUUUGCAAGUUUAACGGUGUAGAAGUAUCCAAAUCAAAUAAAAUUUUGAUAGAAAAUUUUUUAUACUAUUUAUAGCAAGAUCAAUAUGUUUGAUCGAAAAUUUUAAUGCUAUAUCACCACUUUUUGUGAGAUUUUUAUUUUCAGCCGUUGAUUUUGAACCCUUUCGAUCGUUAGGUAAAUGAUAUCGAAAAGUCACAAAAUUUAUUUUCUAGAUACUUCAAAUAUGUUAGAUCAAAUCUAACAGAGCCGAUCGUCGAUUCGGAAGCUCCAUCAUCGAAAACUGCUUAGGAGCACGGAGUCCUCCGUACUCCUAAUAGCACACAAGACUUACUAUAUAUAUAUAUAUAUAUAUAUAUAUUAUAUAUUUGAGCUAGAUACUCUCAAAAUGAGGUGGUUGCUUUUUGGUUUUAGCCAUCGAUUGGAGAGAUGAUGGUGGUAGUUUGGUGCGUAGGCGGGGGUGGUCGGUGGCGUAGUUUUUGAUCCAUAUAUAUAUAUAUAUAUGUAUAUGUAUAUGUAUAUAUAUAUAUAUACAUGUAUAUAUAUAUAUAUACAUAUACAUAUACAUAUAUAUAUAUAUAUACAUAUAUAUAUCAGUGGGUUGGUAUGCUUAUGGAGCACGGAGCCCUCCGUGCUUCCAAGUUGUUUUCGAUGUUUGGACUUUCGAAUCAACGAUCGGCUCCGUUAGAGUUGAUCUAGAGUAUUUGAAGUACCUAGAAAAUAAACUUUAUGAUUUUUCGAUAUCAUUUGCCUAGUGAUCGAAGGGGCUCAAAAUCAAUAAUUUUAUUUUUCUCUUUUUAUUAUCCAUUUCGGGGUAUUUUUUUCGUUAAAUCAGUGAUGAAGUUAAAACUAAAGGGUACUAAAAUGAAAAUUUGAUAAACCUAGGUAGAAUAUCUGAAAUAUUUGGUAUAUAAUUUAACGAAAUAUUAAGCCACAAGGUACUAAAGUGAUAAAGUGCGAAACCACAGGGUACUAACAUGAUACACUUUAAGCCAUAGGGUAUUAAAGUGAGAAAGUGCGAAACCAAUGGUACUAACAUGAUACACUUUAAAUUACAAAAUACUAAAGUGAGAAAUGCGAAAUUACAAAGGUAUUUGAAUUUUUUCCUAUAUAAUAAUUUCAUUUCGUUUAAACCAAUGUCGUUGACCCAAAAGGCGUGUAAAAUUAGAUUUGAGUGCUGGCUACAUCAAAAAGAGUAAAAACCAUCAAUUAAAUUGAUACUAACUACCUAAUUGCCACGAAACCUUUGAAUGUUCUUUGAUACAUCCUAAAGCAUGGCUCUUUCUACUACUUUUUGCAGUUGCAAGAGAUUGGACCCCCUAAAAUCAGGGUAGUUAUCAAGAAGUAAGAAAUUCUGAGGGCAUUCAAUUACUCACAGCGACUUGAAUGAAAUGGCGGAGAAUAUGAAGAUGUUGAUAAGAUGAAACCCUCUGGACUCCAGUUGAGGGUUAUGCCAUCCUCUAACAGACCUCUUAUCGUGGAGUAACUUAGAUUCUGGGGUUCAUAAUCGCCGGUGAAAUCUAUGUAAGUAUCAUCUGCAACAUAGCAGCCCUUGUGGAGAUCACCAACUGAUAGUGAGCCCAGUAGAACAUAUGAGUAUGACGCAUCCUUGUUGCUGGUGUUCCUGCAAGAAGCUGUAGCUUUGUACAGAGAAUUAUUCACAAGAACUGAACAAUUCAAGAAGACCACACUGAUGAAAGAAUUUAGAUAAAAUGGUGUAUACCCCCACAAUGAAUUGGUAGAGAAGUAGUGAGGUAUGUAAGAACAAUUGUCUCCAAAUAUACCAGGAUCAACUAUUCUGAUUGAAUAGUCAUCAUAAAUAAUACUCUCUACAAAAUACUUCUUUGAAAACAAUUCUAUAGUGGUCUGAUUCUUUUCACAGAACAGUUGAAACGGUGAAUCUCCACAAAAUUCAAGAUCAUUUUGCAAGCAGAACGGAUAAGAGAUAUUUGGGAUAUUUCCACAGUCGCUUGCACAGCUGUAUCCAGGAACCAAGGUAAAGCCCGCAAGAAGAAGGUAUACUAUUUUAACGACUGACAGGGAGAACUCCAUGGUCAGAAAGCUCAGAGCACGCUGUUUCUGGUGUAAGUUCUGUAUCUUCUAUAAAUA